Anas platyrhynchos (mallard) is the source of this 2717-nucleotide long non-coding RNA. RefSeq lists it as uncharacterized. NCBI's taxonomy places the organism in Eukaryota, Metazoa, Chordata, Aves, Anseriformes, Anatidae. The record is from RefSeq and is a predicted model, not a curated record.
AUGAAUGAUAUGGGUGGAAUGUGAUUUUGCUCACGGAGAAAAAAAUAAAAAAAAGUAGCUUUAGUUUUGCUGGAGCUCUGUGGCAGUGAAACGUGCAGUUGCACAUGGUAUGCUCCUGCUCCUCGACCUCUCUGCUGCUCAGUUUGCUGCUUUGAGCUUUCUGUGCACUCAUGAAGUGUGUUCAGUGCCUUCUGCUUUGCUUCCUCAAGGAAAAGAGCAACAGCUGUGGAGGAGAAAGGAGACUUGCUGCUCUUGUCCAUAUGUGAUGAUCCAGAGCAAGACUUGAGGGAAUCUGGGGAAGACUGUAUUGCAGUAUCUUCCAUCUUCUCCUGACAUACCAGAAACUUGAUCAUCUGACUGUAAAGCUAACGGAGGAAGUCACGCACCUGCUCCAUCUCGUAUGACUGAGCUGAGUUUGGAACUGAAGAGGACGUCCACAUGAUUCAAGAUGAAUUCCACAACUACUGACUGGAUUCGCACCUCCAUGAAAGCAGCUGUUCCACUGAAGCAGGCAGACUCGAUCUGCUUUGAUCUGAAGAAAAGGAAGAUUAAAUAAAAUGCAAACAGCCAGAAGACUGUGAAAAAGAUAUGCUCCCCUUGGCUGGAGUCCUACUGAAACAGGCAAGAGGAACAAUGGGUCAAGAAGGAAAGAAAGCACGUGGCAGGUCCAGAUUGAGGUAAGCAUUGCAUAUACGAAGUGGGGAACUUUCCUUUAACUUCUUUCUAGAAACAGUGUAUGGCAGCAGUUUAAUGCUGUGACACUGUAGAAAGCUCAGCAUGGUCUUCUGCAUCAUUUUUCCUCUAGCAGGGAAUGUCUCCAACUGGUCCUGCCCAGCAAGUACCCCAAUAUUCACAACAGCAAACUCAAACAAGAAAUCUUUUGACUGCUUGUGGGUGAAUUGCCAUAAAGGAGAAAAUAGCUUUCCCUCAUUAACUGCACACAGGGGAAUCUCUGACUCGGAUUUCUCAGGUUGGUAGCAAAGCAGUCCAGAAAUCAAUUCAAUAGAAGCCAGGGUGAUUUUUUUGUCUUUGUUUUAAAGCACAAUUUUUUAAAUUACACCAUUAAUUAUAAAAUACCCUAUUAGGCACAUUCAAAACAAGUUUUAGGAGACAUUUAUCCAAGAUCAUUUCCAUAAGUCUGAAUUUUUGCAGCCAAAAGCUGUCAAAUUAGACUCCGGAGAUUUCUGCAGUGGGAAAUCAGUGAUGCCACUAAACACAUUUUCCUGGAUGAUCAAGGACACACUAGUCUCAUCUAACCAGGAGAGGAGAAAUUAUCAUCUAGAAAGAGUUCUGGGGGUGAGAACACACUAUGCUCAUUCCUUGACACUGCUGAACUGUGGUCAGUGGAGUUGCAGUGCAGAGAGAGAGAGCAAUACUGGGGUAUUCUCUCACAGUGUGUCAACACAGUUCCACUGACAACAGCAGAGCUAUUAACAUCACUUUCAGAAGCUUGCCAGCUGGUCUCAACCCCCUGCUCAGAAUAAUUUCCUAUUAGAAAUUUUACAGGAGAAGAGCACAUUGGAUGGAAAAAAAGGAAAAUCUUUUUCUAGGCUGCUGAAAGUUAUGAUUUUCUGGGCAACUGAUAUCUAUCUUUUAUUUGUAUAAAUACAAAAACUUACAUAAGCCUUGUAUUUGAAUGGGAAAAAAAAAAGUUACCUUAAGAGGUUUGGAGCCCAGACAAUUGCCAAGUUCUUAGCGUGCAUAUUUGUAACAGAGCAGUAAUCAGCUAGACGAGCUAAGUGUCUCAUUAAGAACUCCAGUGUCCUGGAAAACAAGAGAUAGGCAAAUGUUCAGCACCAAUGAGCAAGCCAUGCUGCAAGUUACAAAACAAACCCUAGUUCAUUAUCUUCUUUCGCUUUGGGUGCUCACAAAAAAAAAAAAGUUGAAGUGUAUGGUAAGAAGGAUGGUAAAGUUGUCUUUAGCAAAUAAUUACAUAGGGGUGGGGUAAGAGGGAGUCUCUCCUGAAUUGUUCUGAGUAAAGGAAAAGACUGCCCAAGCACCUGUUGUCAGCCAAGUGACUGGACCCAGCAAAGACUGACGUGGAUGGGAAUAUGCUAAAUGCCACCAGCACAGCAGGAUCUAGAAGCAGAGCACCCUGGAGCUUCAUAGCUCGUGGUGGUUUUAUUAUAGCAUUGUGAAACAGAAAUACAGCCCUUACACUGUAUUUGGGUCAUAGCACAAUGCUCAUCUGAGAGUUAGAAGAAAGGACUUUGAAUAUAAACCUCCUGGUAAACAGAAGACUAUUUAUUUACACAGCCCAGGAUUUUGAAAACCAGCAAAUUUUAUCUGAAUUCUACUUAGGAAAUGAGUGCUUCCAGCUUUCUUAUACACAUAUAAGAGAUACACAGCAGAUACAAGGUUAAGCUUCACAGGACUUCUGAUCAAGGUAAAAAUAAAAGAUUGUGUUUUAGAUCAAACGCUGCUGCUACCAUGACAUGGGGAAGAGGAGGAAGGGCCCAGCUCCAUUCCUUCCAGCCAGUGCAGGGGGUGGCAAUGUGAACGCUGCUGCCACCUCCUCCAUGCUGGCGCUCAGCAGCAGCCUGGCUGGCACCCGUCUCUCUGUGCCCCCUUCACCAUAUGGCAGCAGAGGCCCAAAACUUCUCAGGCAGGAAGGGCGUGAAGCUCAGAUGGGUGUUUCUGGGUGGACACAAAGCAGGCAUCUCCAGCAACCUGCACGGCCCUGCUGCACCUCAAACACUGCCUACCCGCAUGCAAAU